GCAUAUCAAUAAGCGGAGGAAAAGAAACUAACAAGGAUUCCCCCUAGUAACUGCGAGUGAAGCGGGAAAAAGCUCAAAUUUAAAAUCUGGCGGUCUUUGGCUGUCCGAGUUGUAAUCUAGAGAAGUGUUAUCCGCGCUGGACCGUGUACAAGUCUCCUGGAAUGGAGCGUCAUAGAGGGUGAGAAUCCCGUCUUUGACACGGACUGCCAGGGCUUUGUGAUGCACUCUCAAAGAGUCGAGUUGUUUGGGAAUGCAGCUCAAAAUGGGUGGUAAAUUCCAUCUAAAGCUAAAUAUUGGCGAGAGACCGAUAGCGAACAAGUACCGUGAGGGAAAGAUGAAAAGAACUUUGGAAAGAGAGUUAAACAGUACGUGAAAUUGCUGAAAGGGAAACGCUUGAAGUCAGUCGCGUUGGCCAGGAAUCAACCUUGCUCUUUUGCUUGGCGUACUUUCUGGUUGACGGGUCAGCAUCAAUUUUGACCGUUGGAUAAAGGCUUGGGGAAUGUGGCAUCUUCGGAUGUGUUAUAGCCCCUGGUUGCAUACAACGGUUGGGAUUGAGGAACUCAGCAUGCCGCAAGGCCGGGUUUUUAACCACGUUCGUGCUUAGGAUGCUGGCAUAAUGGCUUUAAUCGACCCGUCUUGAAACACGGACCAAGGAGUCUAACAUGCCUGCGAGUGUUUGGGUGGAAAACCCGGACGCGUAAUGAAAGUGAAAGUUGAGAUCCCUGUCGCGGGGAGCAUCGACGCCCGGACCAGAAAUUUAUGGACGGUUCCGCGGUAGAGCAUGUAUGUUGGGACCCGAAAGAUGGUGAACUAUGCCUGAAUAGGGUGAAGCCAGAGGAAACUCUGGUGGAGGCUCGUAGCGAUUCUGACGUGCAAAUCGAUCGUCAAAUUUGGGUAUAGGGGCGAAAGACUAAUCGAACCAUCUAGUAGCUGGGUUCCUGCGAG
This 945-nucleotide ribosomal RNA is filed under the name Phaeolepiota aurea. RNAcentral describes it as "LSU rRNA". It matches the Rfam family "Eukaryotic large subunit ribosomal RNA", at positions 38 to 965 of the family's 3401-position model. Lineage: Eukaryota; Fungi; Basidiomycota; Agaricomycetes; Agaricales; Squamanitaceae. The record is from RNAcentral.